Molecule: ribosomal RNA, 253 nt
Filed under: uncultured bacterium
Lineage: Bacteria
Description: partial 16S ribosomal RNA
Rfam family: Bacterial small subunit ribosomal RNA
Source: RNAcentral
GACGAACCGUGCGAACGUUAUUCGGAAUCACUGGGCUUAAAGGGCGCGUAGGCGGGCUCGCCAGUCAGGGGUGAAAGCCCACGGCUUAACCGUGGAAGUGCCUCUGAUACUGCGGGUCUCGAGGGAGGUAGGGGCGUGCGGAACUUCCGGUGGAGCGGUGAAAUGCGUAGAUAUCGGAAGGAACACCGGUGGCGAAAGCGGCGCGCUGGACCUCUUCUGACGCUGAGGCGCGAAAGCCAGGGGAGCGAACGGG